RNAcentral lists this ribosomal RNA (468 nucleotides) under uncultured bacterium. RNAcentral describes it as "partial 16S ribosomal RNA". It matches the Rfam family "Bacterial small subunit ribosomal RNA", at positions 28 to 507 of the family's 1533-position model. The record is from RNAcentral.
GACGAACGCUGGCGGCGUGCUUAACACAUGCCAGUCGAACGGAAAGGCCCUGCUUUUGUGGGGUGCUCGAGUGGCGAACGGGUGAGUAACACGUGAGUAACCUGCCCUUGACUUUGGGAUAACUUCAGGAAACUGGGGCUAAUAACGGAUAGGAGCUCCUGCUGCAUGGUGGGGGUUGGAAAGUUUCGGCGGUUGGGGAUGGACUCGCGGCUUAUCAGCUUGUUGGUGGGGUAGUGGCUUACCAAGGCUUUGACGGGUAGCCGGCCUGAGGGGGUGUCCGGCCACAUUGGGACUGAGAUACGGCCCAGACUCCUACCGGAGGCAGCAGUGGGAAAUAUUGCACAAUGGGCGGAAGCCUGAUGCAGCAACGCCGCGUGCGGGAUGACGGCCUUCGGGUUGUAAACCGCUUUCGCCUGUGACGAAGCGUGAGUGACGGUAAUGGGUAAAGAAGCACCGGCUAACUACGUG